UGGCGGACGGGUGAGUAAUGUCUGGGAAACUGCCUGAUGGAGGGGGGAUAACUACUGGAAACGGUAGCUAAUACCGCAUAACGUCGCAAGACCAAAGAGGGGGACCUUCGGGCCUCUUGCCAUCGAAUGUGCCCAGAUGGGAUUAGCUAGUAGGUGGGGUAACGGCUCACCUAGGCGACGAUCCCUAGCUGGUCUGAGAGGAUGACCAGCCACACUGGAACUGAGACACGGUCCAGACUCCUACGGGAGGCAGCCAUG
This 258-nucleotide ribosomal RNA is filed under the name uncultured bacterium. RNAcentral describes it as "partial 16S ribosomal RNA". It matches the Rfam family "Bacterial small subunit ribosomal RNA", at positions 96 to 352 of the family's 1533-position model. The record is from RNAcentral.